CCUACGGGAGGCAGCAGUGGGGAAUAUUGGGCAAUGGAGGAAACUCUGACCCAGCAACGCCGCGUGAAUGAUGAAGGUCUUCGGAUUGUAAAGUUCUUUUCUAAGGGAAGAAGAAAGUGACGGUACCUUAGGAAAAAGCCGAGGCUAACUACGUGCCAGCAGCCGCGGUAAUACGUAGGAGGCGAGCGUUAACCGGAAUGACUGGGCGUAAAGGGUGCGUAGGUGGUUUGGCAAGUUAGUAGCGUAACUCCAAGGCUCAACCUUGGAACUACUACUAAAACUGUUGGACUUGAGUGCAGGAGGGGCAACCGGAAUUCCUAGUGUAGCGGUGGAAUGCGUAGAUAUUAGGAGGAACACCAGUGGCGAAGGCGAGUUGCUGGACUGUAACUGACACUGAGGCACGAAAGCGUGGGGAGCAAACAGGAUUAGAUACCCGAGUAGUC
This 443-nucleotide ribosomal RNA is filed under the name uncultured bacterium. RNAcentral describes it as "partial 16S ribosomal RNA". It matches the Rfam family "Bacterial small subunit ribosomal RNA", at positions 338 to 795 of the family's 1533-position model. The record is from RNAcentral.